GGGGAGGGCAGGUUUGACUUUCUAAAUGGGCUUUGUUCACCCAAUGGAAGAGAAAACUCCAGAGCUUGCUCAGCAGCCUGGGCACUGGGCUGCCAGCGUGGGCGGGGCCCCUUGGGGGAGCCAGGGACUGAGCAGCCCCUUUGGGUGGCUUCAUGGUAAAACAAGGUUUUCUCACCUCAAGGCCUUUUGUGUAACGAUGGGUGAGAGCUAAGAGCGGCGGGGGGUGAGGUGAGAGAAAGGCGCAGAGGAAUCAGGCAGCUUACUCAAAACCCGCAGGCGGCACGGGCAGGGCUGGAAGCGAGGGGCCGCCUCUGCUGAAGUGGUCUGGCUCCCAGCGGGACCCAUUGUUGGGCCAGGCACUCCUCCUUCCCGGGCCCCUACCCCUGAGAGCAGAAGCAGGGCACCUCCGGCGGGUGCCAGCACAGAGGGCCUCUGGCUCUUGGCUCCAGGUCCUCACUGGCAUAGAGACAAAGCCAGGACAAUCUCCAGUCACUACAGCACACAGUACAGCGCAUCCCACCGUGAUCAGGUGCCCUCUGACCAGGCGUGCCCCAGAAAGUACGGGGUGAUCCUGGGGUAUCGAGAUGCUGAAAGGGAAAAGGAAGCCCCGAAAAAUCACACCGCUGGUUUGGAGCUUUUACUCUCUUCUCAGUGGCUAAUUUGAGUCCUCCUAAAAAAUGUGUUGCUAGACGUGCUGACACCCUGGCCAGUGGGUCAGCCCUCAGGGGGGAGUUUGUCUAGAAUCCUCCGAAGAGGAAGGAAGCGGCGUGAUCAGGGUCUGGCUCCUGCUGCUGAGGAAGACGAGACAUCCGCCCCAAGGUCCUGGCAACUCUCAGCCAGCGAAGGUCCUGAUUCAGUGACUUCGUGUGACAGUUGGGUGGGAAGAGGAGGAUGGAUGGAGAAAUUAGAGUCAGUCGCUUUCAAAAACGAUCAGAGUGUGACUGGAAAUGCUCUUCUCUGCCUCGUUCUGAAGAGACUCAUUCUGGACAUAAUCCUCAAAAUGGAAAGUGGGGAGCGCGUGUAUUCUCCAAAUGGACAGGCCAGAUCCGGCCCCAGUGGGCUGUGCAAGGGGCGUCCGAUCCCCACACCCCGGGGGGAGGCAGAGAUCCGC
RNAcentral lists this long non-coding RNA (1111 nucleotides) under Equus caballus (horse). Its description in RNAcentral is "lncRNA (ENSECAG00000031744.2)". Lineage: Eukaryota; Metazoa; Chordata; Mammalia; Perissodactyla; Equidae. The record is from RNAcentral.